Molecule: ribosomal RNA, 976 nt
Filed under: Escherichia coli
Lineage: Bacteria; Pseudomonadati; Pseudomonadota; Gammaproteobacteria; Enterobacterales; Enterobacteriaceae
Description: partial 23S ribosomal RNA
Rfam family: Bacterial large subunit ribosomal RNA
Source: RNAcentral
CGGGACACGUGGUAUCCUGUCUGAAUAUGGGGGGACCAUCCUCCAAGGCUAAAUACUCCUGACUGACCGAUAGUGAACCAGUACCGUGAGGGAAAGGCGAAAAGAACCCCGGCGAGGGGAGUGAAAAAGAACCUGAAACCGUGUACGUACAAGCAGUGGGAGCACGCUUAGGCGUGUGACUGCGUACCUUUUGUAUAAUGGGUCAGCGACUUAUAUUCUGUAGCAAGGUUAACCGAAUAGGGGAGCCGAAGGGAAACCGAGUCUUAACUGGGCGUUAAGUUGCAGGGUAUAGACCCGAAACCCGGUGAUCUAGCCAUGGGCAGGUUGAAGGUUGGGUAACACUAACUGGAGGACCGAACCGACUAAUGUUGAAAAAUUAGCGGAUGACUUGUGGCUGGGGGUGAAAGGCCAAUCAAACCGGGAGAUAGCUGGUUCUCCCCGAAAGCUAUUUAGGUAGCGCCUCGUGAAUUCAUCUCCGGGGGUAGAGCACUGUUUCGGCAAGGGGGUCAUCCCGACUUACCAACCCGAUGCAAACUGCGAAUACCGGAGAAUGUUAUCACGGGAGACACACGGCGGGUGCUAACGUCCGUCGUGAAGAGGGAAACAACCCAGACCGCCAGCUAAGGUCCCAAAGUCAUGGUUAAGUGGGAAACGAUGUGGGAAGGCCCAGACAGCCAGGAUGUUGGCUUAGAAGCAGCCAUCAUUUAAAGAAAGCGUAAUAGCUCACUGGUCGAGUCGGCCUGCGCGGAAGAUGUAACGGGGCUAAACCAUGCACCGAAGCUGCGGCAGCGACACUAUGUGUUGUUGGGUAGGGGAGCGUUCUGUAAGCCUGUGAAGGUGUACUGUGAGGUAUGCUGGAGGUAUCAGAAGUGCGAAUGCUGACAUAAGUAACGAUAAAGCGGGUGAAAAGCCCGCUCGCCGGAAGACCAAGGGUUCCUGUCCAACGUUAAUCGGGGCAGGGUGAGUCGACCCCUAA